UCCGUAGGUGAACCUGCGGAGGGAUCAUUAAUGGAUGUUGGGAAUGUCGCUCAUGAAACACUGAGUGCUCCCACAACUAUUACCACACACACUUUGUGAACCUUUUCUUUUCGUGAAGGUCUUUCGGGACUGGAUCGAGAGAAACACUUGUGAUUUAAACCAGUCUAGAAUGUUUCAUUCAAUUGAAUCAAAUGUUGAAACAACUAUAAACGGUGGAUCUCUUGGCUCUCGCAUCGAUGAAGAACGCAGCGAAACGCGAAAUGUAAUGUGAAUUGCAGAAUUCAGUGAAUCAUCGAAUCUUUGAACGCACCUUGCGCUCUUGGGUUAUUCCUAAGAGCAUGCUUGUUUGAGUGUCGCGAAACUCUCAACCCCGCCCCAUCUUUAUUGAUGUGUGGUUGCUUGGGCUUGGAUCAUGAUCCUUUUGCUGUUUUCGGACAGCUGGAUUGAAAUACAACAAGCUGAAUCAAUAUACGUGCGGCUUGACCUGUCGUUGUAAGCAAACUUUCGAUGGGGACGCAUGAAAAUUGAACGAGCUUAUCAAAUUGCUCCGCUGUGUCAUCUAAGGCUUUCGGGUUUUAGUAACCAGUGCAUUCUGACCUCAAAUCAAGUAGGACUACCCGCUGAACUUAAGCAUAUCAAUAAGCGGAGGAAAAG
Molecule: ribosomal RNA, 654 nt
Filed under: Pseudobensingtonia ingoldii
Lineage: Eukaryota; Fungi; Basidiomycota; Agaricostilbomycetes; Agaricostilbales; Agaricostilbaceae
Description: eukaryotic LSU rRNA
Rfam family: 5.8S ribosomal RNA (bases 202-356)
Source: RNAcentral